AUACGUAGGUGGCAAGCGUUGUCCGGAAUUAUUGGGCGUAAAGCGCGCGCAGGUGGUUCCUUAAGUCUGAUGUGAAAGCCCCCGGCUCAACCGGGGAGGGUCAUUGGAAACUGGGGAACUUGAGUGCAGAAGAGGAUAGUGGAAUUCCAAGUGUAGCGGUGAAAUGCGUAGAGAUUUGGAGGAACACCAGUGGCGAAGGCGACUGUCUGGUCUGUAACUGACACUGAGGCGCGAAAGCGUGGGGAGCAAACAGGAUUAGAUACCCUGGUAGUCCACGCCGUAAACGAUGAGUGCUAAGUGUUGGGGGGUUUCCGCCCCUCAGUGCUGCAGCUAACGCAUUAAGCACUCCGCCUGGGGAGUACGGUCGCAAGGUUGAAACUCAAAUGAAUUGACGGGG
RNAcentral lists this ribosomal RNA (397 nucleotides) under uncultured bacterium. Its description in RNAcentral is "partial 16S ribosomal RNA". It matches the Rfam family "Bacterial small subunit ribosomal RNA", at positions 523 to 918 of the family's 1533-position model. The record is from RNAcentral.